UUCUCUCACUCCUCAUGCCUCCACAUCAGCGGCCAGCUAGAUAAGUCGCUGCCUCUCAUCGCGACACGUCAGCCGACGAAACACGUCGUUUCAUUAAUACGGAAAUCUUGAUGGGCUUUCAAUUUGAGGCCUAAAGUCGCAUGAAGACAUAAAGCCUUGCCAGUAUCAAACCGCUGCGUUUUUUUUAUCAGGGUUACAAUGGCUUCAUAUGAAUCGGCUCUUGGACGCGUCGUUUAGGGUUCAUACAAAUCAGCCGUUUUCGACAUUAGAGAGAUUGUGAUUGUAGAUCGUGAUCAAGUCCUUUCGCCUUUCGUCAUAUGAAAUGUGUGUUAAGCUUUGUAAAAAGCGGUGCUUCCACAGUAUAAAUAGUAUCUGAGGUCAAGAAUCUGAAGCGAGGUGGUGAACUCAUGCGGCUGAACCUGCUCAUAGUCGAUUUGAAUGUCAAACGUGUUUUAUAUCGCUUGGUGCCAGAGACACUGGUCUCACACCAGCAGCACCACUCCUGAGAGAGAUUGCAAAAGUCGAGCCCGUAACCGUAGCUGAGCUCAAUAGCUUUGUCACCACUGCCGUGUCUAAGGAUAUUGAGUUCAUGUGCACCGGCACGGUUAUCCGGCCCGAUUCAGAGAAAGGAUGGUGUUACGUUGCUUGCUCUAAAUCUAGCAGGAAGCUCAAGCGCACUGAAUCUGCCUUUACAUGUCUACCGAAUGGAGCUUACAAUCGCUGAUGACACUGAUGAAGGUAUCUUUGUUUGUUUUGAUGGUGUAAUGACAAAGCUACAUGGUCUCA
RNA transcript from Brassica oleracea var. oleracea, 786 nucleotides. RefSeq lists it as uncharacterized. The record is from RefSeq and is a predicted model, not a curated record. NCBI's taxonomy places the organism in Eukaryota, Viridiplantae, Streptophyta, Magnoliopsida, Brassicales, Brassicaceae. The transcript is spliced from 6 exons.